This 220-nucleotide long non-coding RNA is filed under the name Capsella rubella. RNAcentral's name for it is "long non-coding RNA (CRUB_LNC002203)". The record is from RNAcentral. Lineage: Eukaryota; Viridiplantae; Streptophyta; Magnoliopsida; Brassicales; Brassicaceae.
UUAGAGAGAUGUAUUAUUCAUUUAAAAUAUAUAAAGAAACAAUAAAAAGGAAGAACUAUAUAUAAAAAAUGAAAAAUGAAAAAAUAAAAAUAGUUAAACCUAGUUAAGAUCUUACAUGCUAUAGUUCAAUAUUAAACCUAAAAUGAACUCUAUGCUAUACACGUCUCUUCACAUGGAAGCGUCCUUGCUUCUCCUCCAAUGGUAGCCAUCACCACCAAAA